CAGUCGCCGCGGUAAUACAGAGGGUGCAAGCGUUAAUCGGAUUUACUGGGCGUAAAGGGCGCGUAGGUGGUGGUUUAAGUCCGUUGUGAAAGCCCUGGGCUCAACCUGGGAAUUGCAGUGGAUACUGGGUCACUAGAGUGUGGUAGAGGAUAGUGGAAUUUCCGGUGUAGCAGUGAAAUGCGUAGAGAUCGGGAGGAACAUCUGUUGCGAAGGCGACUAUCUGGGCCAACACUGACACUGAGGCACGAAAGCGUGGGGAGCAAACAGGAUUAGAUACCCCUGUAGUCCCUGUCUCUUAUAC
Molecule: ribosomal RNA, 301 nt
Filed under: uncultured bacterium
Lineage: Bacteria
Description: partial 16S ribosomal RNA
Rfam family: Bacterial small subunit ribosomal RNA
Source: RNAcentral